GAUGAACGCUGGCGGUGUGCCUAAUACAUGCAAGUCGAACGGGAUCUUCGGAUCUAGUGGCGAACGGGUGAGUAACACGUUGGUACCUACCCCUAAGUGGGGAAGUAACUGCCCGAAAGGGUGGCUAAUACCGCAUAAUCCCGCAAGGGUAAAGCAGUAAUGCGCUUAGGGAGGGGCCUGCGUCUGAUUAGCUUGUUGGUGAGGUAAUGGCUCACCAAGGCGACGAUCAGUAGCUGGUCNGAGAGGAUGAUCAGCCACAUUGGGACUGAGACACGGCCCAAACUCCUACGGGAGGCAGCAGUGGGGAAUAUUUGGACAACUGGGCGCAAGCCUGAUCCAGCCAUGCCGCGUGAGUGAUGAAGGCCCUAGGGUUGUAAAGCUCUUUUACCCGGGAAGAUAAUGACUGUACCGGGAGAAUAA
RNAcentral lists this ribosomal RNA (420 nucleotides) under uncultured bacterium. RNAcentral's name for it is "bacterial SSU rRNA". It matches the Rfam family "Bacterial small subunit ribosomal RNA", at positions 28 to 489 of the family's 1533-position model. The record is from RNAcentral.